UUUUUCUUUUUUUUUUGGUGAUUUCCUUCACAAAGUAGCUGUGGAAUGAAGAGAAAAUAUUGGAAGAUGGACCUCCAUACAAUACUUCAUGAGCAUGUCUUUGGAGCCAUCCACUCUGUCAAGUGAAAGACCAAAAAAACUUUGGAGAUUGAUAUUGUGGCCUUUUGUUAGCUCUUUGUAGGAUUAUGACUGCUAAAUUUUGAGUUCAAGCAGCAAGACUGAAUAGAAAUAGAGAUAAGUUUACAUCAACAAUUCCAGCUUGAGCCUGUUCUCAUCACGUUGCCAGCAUCCUUCAGCUAAAACUGACUAGAGGACAAAAGAAAUCUCACUUUGCAAUUGGGACGCAUUAGAAGAUGGAAUGGAAUUAGUGAGUUCAAGCUUUAAGAGUAGACAAAGCUAGUGAUAAAGCUCCAUGGAAACUCUCCUCUCUGCUCAACUCUUUCUCCUGCAAUCUCUUUGAUCUACCUCAGGUUGUUUUUGUCCAUAAAUUGAGGGAAGCAAGUAUGGUUGCUGAAUCUUUAGCUAAACAGGGUCAAUCUCGUAAGCCUGAUUUUGUGGCCUUGUUUUAGAAUUGUUUUGGCUUCAGACUUUUUUCUUGUUCUACUAUUUUUUCAGUUUGGUUGUUUCACUCCUCUUUUGCUUUGGUCUUAUGAUGUUCUCUGCUUUGGUGUUUUUGGGUGAGGUGAUUGCUGGUUUAGGUCGGGUUCUUUGGGGAAUGCCUGUUGGCAUGGGUUAGGUGGCAGCUCUCCUCACCUCCUGUAUCUUUCUUUUCUUCAAUAAAAUUUCUUGCUUACAUAUAUUGUUAGAUA
This is a long non-coding RNA of Hevea brasiliensis (rubber tree), 809 nucleotides long. RefSeq lists it as uncharacterized. Lineage: Eukaryota; Viridiplantae; Streptophyta; Magnoliopsida; Malpighiales; Euphorbiaceae. The record is from RefSeq and is a predicted model, not a curated record. The transcript is spliced from 2 exons.